AUCCUGCUGAAUGUUAACUUGUAUUGCUUUCCUUCAAUCAGCGAUUCACAAAUCAAAAUGGUGAUGAACUUUCAAUUUGAUCAGGGUACAUCAGGAAGUCAAGUUAAUAUUGACAAAGAUUUUAAUAAGGAAGUGUAUGAAACUUUCGAAAGUAACUUAACAAAAUGAAUGACUUGGCAGGUAUUGAAAGUUGUUGUUCUUCGCAUUCGGACACUGAAUCAGUUUCGAGCAAUGUUGAACCAGUUCGGAAUAAUUCGUUAAAGUUUGGAAUUGCAAACAUUUUGAAAGAAAGUGAACAUUCAGUGACUUCAGAAACGUCAUUUUCUAACGAUGAACAAUUAUCCAAAAACAUGUUUAACCAUACAAACAGUCCUAGACUUUUAUUUAAUCCGUAUUUUUUGCAAAAUUCAAGCCUUAUGUGGCCACUUCAAGAUUUAUCAAGAGAUAGGCAAAUACUAACGAGACGAAUAGGACAUCCAUAUCAAAACAGAACCCCACCAAAGAAAAAAAAGCCAAGAACAUCAUUUAGCAGACUUACAAUUAUAGAACUAGAGAAAAGGUUUGAACAGCAAAAAUAUCUAGCGUCAUCAGAACGAACGCAUUUAGCAAAAGCCCUGAAGAUUUCUGAUUCCCAAGUGAAAACAUGGUUUCAGAAUAGGAGAACGAAGUGGAGGCGACAAGUUGCUGAAGAAAAGGAAAUACAAAGGCAAGCUGCAAAUCGUUUACUAAUGUCUAUUGGACAAAGUGUUUUGCAAUAAAUUCCUCAGCCUAAUGUGACAAUAAAGGAAGUGCAGUUGUUAAUUAAGAAGCUGUUACUGUGGAUUUUUUUUCUCCACAAAAUCAAACUGUUGUUUUGCUUUUUCAUAAAUAGAACAUUUAUUACUCUU
Molecule: long non-coding RNA, 887 nt
Organism: Mytilus californianus (California mussel)
Lineage: Eukaryota; Metazoa; Mollusca; Bivalvia; Mytilida; Mytilidae
Exons: 3
Source: RefSeq, a predicted model, not a curated record